Molecule: ribosomal RNA, 497 nt
Filed under: uncultured bacterium
Lineage: Bacteria
Description: partial 16S ribosomal RNA
Rfam family: Bacterial small subunit ribosomal RNA
Source: RNAcentral
GAUGAACGCUGGCGGCGUGCCUAAUACAUGCAAGUCGAGCGAACAGACGAGGAUCUUGCUCCUCUGACGUUAGCGGCGGACGUGUGAGUAACACGUGUAUAACCUCCCUUUAUUACUGGUAUAACUUCGGGACACCUGAGCUAAUACCGGAUAAUAUCUUGAACCGCAUUGUUCAUUAGUUAAAUUCGGUUUUUCUGUCUCUUAUAGAUUGAUCCGCGCCGCAUUAGCUAGUUGGUAAGGUAACGGCUUACCAAGGCAACGAUGCGUAGCCGACCUGAGAGGGUGAUAGGCCACACGGGAACGGAGACAGGGACAAGACUCCUACGGGAGGCAGCAGUAGGGAAUCGUACGCAAUGGGCGAAAGCAUGACGGAGCAACGACGCGUGAGUGAUGAAGGUCUUCGGAGCGUAAAACUCUGUUAUGAGGGAAGAAAAAAUGUGUAAGUAACUAUGCACGGACUGACGGUACCUAAUCAGAAAGCCACGGCUAACUACGUG